This 285-nucleotide long non-coding RNA is filed under the name Homo sapiens (human). Its description in RNAcentral is "non-protein coding lnc-TENM4-2:2". Lineage: Eukaryota; Metazoa; Chordata; Mammalia; Primates; Hominidae. The record is from RNAcentral.
CAAAGGAGGAGGAGGGUUCAGUGAGGAGUUUUGGGGAAAGCUGAAAUGUCAAAGGCUGAUGAAUUUUACUGGGCAAUAGCACCCGCCAAGACUGAGAGGAGUGAAACAGCACAACCUGGGUGAAGAACUUCAGACCAUUUGGUCUUUCAAGAGCAAAGGGUGACACUGGACAUACUGGAGAAGUAUGAUUAUAAGGCAUGUCAAAGAGUGGGGACAUAAACCAGACAUGGGAGAGAGAAGCUGUCUCCUCUGCAGGAUAAACAGUAUUGCUGCUCUGAAGACAGC